GAGGGUGUAGCUCAGUGGUAGAGCGUGUGCUAAGCAUGCACAAGGUCCUGGGUUCAACCCCUUGUCCCUCU
Molecule: transfer RNA, 71 nt
Filed under: Camelus bactrianus (Bactrian camel)
Lineage: Eukaryota; Metazoa; Chordata; Mammalia; Artiodactyla; Camelidae
Also listed under: 2 other names
Rfam family: tRNA
About the family: Transfer RNA (tRNA) molecules are approximately 80 nucleotides in length. Their secondary structure includes four short double-helical elements and three loops (D, anti-codon, and T loops). Further hydrogen bonds mediate the characteristic L-shaped molecular structure. tRNAs have two regions of fundamental functional importance: the anti-codon, which is responsible for specific mRNA codon recognition, and the 3' end, to which the tRNAs corresponding amino acid is attached (by aminoacyl-tRNA synthetases). tRNAs cope with the degeneracy of the genetic code in two manners: having more than one tRNA (with a specific anti-codon) for a particular amino acid; and 'wobble' base-pairing, i.e. permitting non-standard base-pairing at the 3rd anti-codon position.
Source: Rfam by way of RNAcentral